GCCCAGGUGGUGAAAUUGGUAGACACGCUAGACUUAGGAUCUAGUGCUUAUGGCGUGGAGGUUCAAGUCCUCUCCUGGGCACCA
RNAcentral lists this transfer RNA (84 nucleotides) under Halobacteriovorax marinus. RNAcentral describes it as "tRNA-Leu". It matches the Rfam family "tRNA". Rfam says of the family: Transfer RNA (tRNA) molecules are approximately 80 nucleotides in length. Their secondary structure includes four short double-helical elements and three loops (D, anti-codon, and T loops). RNAcentral also lists the same sequence under 1 other name. Lineage: Bacteria; Pseudomonadati; Bdellovibrionota; Bacteriovoracia; Bacteriovoracales; Halobacteriovoraceae. The record is from RNAcentral.